This 345-nucleotide unclassified non-coding RNA is filed under the name Hevea brasiliensis (rubber tree). The record is from RNAcentral. Lineage: Eukaryota; Viridiplantae; Streptophyta; Magnoliopsida; Malpighiales; Euphorbiaceae.
GUUCUUGAUAUCAUUAUCAGUUCUUCCAGGCAACUGAGCAGCAAUAAUGGACCACCUGCUUCCAAUACUUAUAUAGAGACUGCAAAUGAUGUUAUCUUCCUCCUCUGAGAAGCCACCAUGUUUGAUGUUAGGCCGGAGAUAAUUCAGCCAUCGAAGUCGACAACUCUUGCCACAUCUCUUAAGGCCUAUCUUCUGAGGCAAGGCUAUCCAGUUGCCGCCGGUGCCAUUCUGCUCAAUAUAAGCCUUAAGCUUGGUAUCUUCCUCAGGCGACCAUGGACCCUUCUUCACGUUGGCUUUGUCACAGCAAGGAGCUCUACCCAUGUCCUUGUCUCUGUGUUGUGUGAU